RNAcentral lists this long non-coding RNA (3947 nucleotides) under Eucalyptus grandis. RNAcentral describes it as "long non-coding RNA (EGRA_LNC005165)". The record is from RNAcentral. Lineage: Eukaryota; Viridiplantae; Streptophyta; Magnoliopsida; Myrtales; Myrtaceae.
ACAGGCAAACAUGCAAACACAUUCAUUCAAUUGAAAUAACGGAGUUGUAUUUACAAGGAUAAUAUAUUCAACUUUGUGCUAUUUACAUUCAGGGUGAAUUUGAGAAAGCUCCUAUGCAUCUUCCAAUAGAUAUGGACAACAGAUUGAUGGAAAUGUAUUUCGUGAUCAAACUUCAUCACAAAGGUCCACAAUGAUCUUUGAGAAAUCAGGUGCUGACCCAGGAGCAUUUCAACUGAAGUUGCUCUUGGCAUCAGAGUCUGAAUGUGUCACGCCCCGAUCCUCGGGCACGUACACAUCCUUCUCACUUGGUCGAUUUUAUAAUGCGAUAUCCCAGGACUAUGUAUCGCCGACCCUUUCAUUUAUUAAGCACAUGCGGAAGCAGUUAAAAUCCCCAGACAAUAAAACGAUGGGAUAGAAAAGCAGGGCCAUAUUUUUCAUAUUGAAAUUUAUAACCAAACUUUUAUACAAAACACAAACCACUUCAUAACUAUUCACUUCAAAAUAGAAUUCUCAAAAGAAGAUAGACUCUCAGUCCAUCCGGGCUGUACUCAAGGCUCCUCUCGGGAUUAUCUUCUUCUUCCAAAAUCCUUCUCCUCAGGUUUUACCUCCGAGUUCUCCUUCCCAGACUUCUCCUCCUCAGCUUCUCAUCGGGAUCCUGAAAUGUUUUCCCCAAACUGGGAUGAGACUACGUCUCAACGAGUUCUACCCCACUAAGCCCGAUUAGUAAACCAUUAUACUAUAGGCUGCCUAUACACGCACAGGGCAGAAGACAUACCUUGGCCUCAGAUCCCUCCUGCAAGUCAGUACAAUUCAUAAUAGGCACCCAAGCAAUCAUAUCACAGAUCGAAGCAUUGAUCAAAUCGACCUAGUCGAUUACAAGCCAACAAGACCACUCCCGAUCAUUUCCAUCCAAUCAAUCAAUUCACAGCAUCAUAUCAAAGCAAUGACCCCUUCCAUACUUUCUAUAAGUCUGAUCAAUAUCCAAGACUACUCACCCUAGGUGAUAUAUAGAUAGCAUGUUAUCCUAUCUCCAAACGACAUAUAGAGUCAUCGAGCUAUCAAAUCAUACCGUACUGUCUCCAGAUGCUCCGUAGAGUCAUCGAGCCGGUAGAUCAUACCGUCCUGUCUCAAGAUGACAUAUAAAGUCACCGAGCCGGUAUACACACAAUUUAUCAUACCGUACUGUCUCCAGAUGCUCCGUAGAGUCAUCGAGCCGGUAGAUCAUACCGUCCUGUCUCAAGAUGCUCCGUGGAGUCAUCGAGCCGGUAUACACACAAUUUAUCAUACCAUACUGUCUCCAGAUGCUCCGUAGAGUCAUCGAGCUGGUAUACAUGUCAUUCCAAGCAAACAAUCAAAUAACCAGUUUUAUCAUUUCCGAUAAAAUGCCAUGAGUGGGUACUCGAUCGGCCCUAGCCAAAAUAUAAUAAUCUCCUUUUUAUAAAUCCCACCAUAUUAUGUAUUCCACUAAAACAUUUUUGGUAUCAUUAACUGAUGCCCGGUUAAUUUCCAAUUAAUUUUCCAAGAUUACUCAAAAUAAUUCCCAAAUAAAUCAUUUUCGCACAAAAUAAAGAUCAAUUAAAUAAACGGAUUGCACCACGACAAUCAGCAUAAAAUUCCGAUUCCGGACCAUCUCAAUUGAAUUUUCGGAAAAUAAAUAAUUAUUUAAUUUAAUUCCGAAAUUUAAUAUUUAAAUACUAAAAAUUCCAAUUAGGCCCAAAAAGCCUAAUUGAAGCCCACUAAGGGUCGGGAAAAAUCCCGAGGCACUUCCAAUAAUUAGUAGACCACGUCUACUUGCUAAAUACACAAUCAAAAUAUCUAACAUGCAUCACAAUUGUCUAAUAAUCACUAAUCUACUCUAAUCUAACCACCUAAUUACAUUUAAUUAAACCUAACCAACCCCUAAGCAUAAUUAGUAAACUAAGCAGGGAUUAGUGAGAUUACUCACUUGAUUAAAGAUUUGAUCGGAUCAAAUCGACGAGCACGCGACAAGGCUCGAUUCUCUCCAAAGCGAUUCCGACAACCGGGGUCGAGACGGUUCAAAAACGGGCCACGAGGUCUUCAAACCCUUGCUGGAAACUGAAGAAAUAGACUGCUGAAAUGGGUUGCCUUCUUACACUCAAACGGACCUCAUAGAAUUGAAUCGGUGAAGACGUGGGUUGAGCCGAGCUACUGAAAACAGAAAGGUCGAAGUUGCUGCCGAAGGGGCCACGACUUCCACGUUGGAGAUGAGUCCCACACGCUGGAGGGCUGACUGCCAAAGUGGGGGCGUCCGCGACUUCUGUGGAGGGGCAGACUAAGCACGAAAAGGGACAAACAACCGCACAAUCGAAGGAAGCAGCGUCGUCGAUUCUGGUGGACCACGCUUCGACUGAUUAAGGAAAAAGACAGCACGUGCAAAUGGGAGAAGUCAUGCGAGGAAGUGGACAGCAACCGCACCAAAGGAAAGAAGACUCCUUCGGUCUUGAUGAGGGAGACGGCGAAUAGUGCAGAAACCGAAUGGGACGUUUGUCCACGUCGCCCAGAGAAAGAGAGAGAGAGAUAUUUAUUUAUGGGAUAAGCAAAGACUCGGUCAAACAGGGAAAUUGAAUUCUGCAGGGAGAGACAGUCGGUGGGGCAUGAACCGAGAGGGAGAGGAUGUGCGGAUGGUAUUCACGCACAAGGAAAAGUAAAAAGGAACGUGCGUGGAAGGGGGGAAGGAGAGAGAGAAUAAGUGUGCGGGCGAGACGGGGGCAACGUCGGCCAGAGGGGCACACGCCAAAAGAAAAAAAAAAGAAAUAGGAAGAUGAGAAAGAAUUAAAUAUUCUUGCUUGAGCUUCGGAUGAUUAGGAAGCAUGCACGAUGGACAAGAGGUAUACAUGGCCGAGAGUGUCCAAGGGAAAAGGAACCAAAAUGCUGAAUAAAACACUUUAUACUCACCUUCAAUUAACAUUAUUGAUUGGUCAUCCUAGGCCAAAUUCUUCAUCAAUUGUACAUUUGAAAUCUAAUUGAAGGCGGUCCUUUAAUCCCACGAAUUUUCUUCAAAUCUGAGUUUUACCUCGCUUUUCUUGGCAUUCGAUAUUCUGAACAAACAAAUCCAUUUGAGGUCCAAUUCGAAUCUGGAAAAAGUCCAAACAACUUGCAUUUACCGAUUCGCCUACACCAGAUGCCAAAUAUCUCUUCGAAUUGGCCAAUCCAUAUUUCCGUUUAUUUUCCGAAUCGUCCAUCUUAAUUUCCCGAAAAAGAUCCCGAUUCUUCAGAAUUUCCUCAAAAGGUGAGUCGUCGCUCUUAGAAUGACCCAUGACACGACAGGACUUCCAAUUUCUGAAAUUGAAUUCAAUCGCGGUUAUUUUCAAUCAAACGUGCUUUUAGUGUGACCUUACCUACCGGGUAGCUUUUAGGAAUUUUCUUGUGCAAUUGACCCGUGGUUGAUUUUCUUCAAAUCACAAUGAACCCAUCCGACACAUUGGUGACUCUCGAUGCUCGUGAAAAUCUCAAGGUUUCAAAUACGGGCACAGGAUACCCAAAAGGACAGAAAAUUGGUUUAGUGCCGACCGAUGAGAAUUUUGCAAUCAUGUGGCAUCACCCACACUUGAUCACACAUUUCAGUCGAAUCGAUCUAUCUCUGAUCUCUGAUCGAUUUUGACAAUGCCGUAAUGACCCUUGCAGACUAGAACAGUCGAGUAGUCGAUUCCUGAUCGAAUUCUCAAGUCUAUUGCGUUUAAAAUCCCUGAAUGGCUUCACCGAAUAGGCUAGUUAUCUCAUGAGUGGCCAACUCAGAGAAAAACACUAUAGUAACGUUGACGAAAGGCCCAUCUUAUCCAAUCGAAAUCAGAACAUGAAAUUCAGGAUGUCACAUAAUGCAGCCUCAAUGCAGCAGAAGAAGGAUUCCUGGAAAGCAUAAGAUUUCCUUUGACAUCUCCACCUCCAUAUUCGGUCAAUAGUGCGUCCAUGACAAUUUUGCAUGCCCC